RNAcentral lists this ribosomal RNA (499 nucleotides) under uncultured bacterium. RNAcentral's name for it is "partial 16S ribosomal RNA". It matches the Rfam family "Bacterial small subunit ribosomal RNA", at positions 899 to 1397 of the family's 1533-position model. The record is from RNAcentral.
ACUCAAAUGAAUUGACGGGGACCCGCACAAGCGGUGGAUUAUGUGGAUUAAUUCGAUGCAACGCGAAAAACCUUACCUACCCUUGACAUGUACGGAACCUCGCAGAGAUGCGGGGGUGCCCGAAAGGGAGCCGUAACACAGGUGCUGCAUGGCUGUCGUCAGCUCGUGUCGUGAGAUGUUGGGUUAAGUCCCGCAACGAGCGCAACCCUUGUCGCUAAUUGCCAUCAUUAAGUUGGGCACUUUAACGAGACUGCCGGUGACAAACCGGAGGAAGGUGGGGAUGACGUCAAGUCCUCAUGGCCCUUAUGGGUAGGGCUUCACACGUAAUACAAUGGCCGGUACAGAGGGCAGCCAACCCGCGAGGGGGAGCUAAUCCCAGAAAGCCGGUCGUAGUCCGGAUUGUUCUCUGCAACUCGAGAGCAUGAAGUCGGAAUCGCUAGUAAUCGCGGAUCAGCAUGUCGCGGUGAAUACGUUCCCGGGUCUUGUACACACCGCCCGU